CCUACGGGAGACUGCAGUGAGGAAUAUUGGUCAAUGGGCGGAAGCCUGAACCAGCCAAGUAGCGUGCAGGAUGACGGCCCUCCGGGUUGUAAACUGCUUUUAUACGGGAAUAACGCGCCUUACUUGUAGGGCUUUGCAUGUACCGUAUGAAUCAGGACCGGCUAAUUCCGUUCCAGCAGCCGCGGUAAUACGGAGGGUACGGUCGUUAUCCGGAUUUCUUGGGUUUAAAGGGAGCGUAGGCCGCAUGUCAAGCGUGCUGUGAAAUGUCCGGGCUCAACCCGGGCCUUGCAGCGCGAACUGGCGUGCUUGAGUCCGCGGAAAGCAGGCGGAAUUCGUCGUGUAGCGGUGAAAUGCUUAGAUAUGACGAAGAACCCAGAUUGCGAAGGCAGCUUGCUGCAGCGGAACUGACGCUGAUGCUCGAAAGCGCGGGUAUCGAACAGGAUUAGAUACCCUGGUAGUC
Molecule: ribosomal RNA, 460 nt
Filed under: uncultured bacterium
Lineage: Bacteria
Description: partial 16S ribosomal RNA
Rfam family: Bacterial small subunit ribosomal RNA
Source: RNAcentral